Molecule: ribosomal RNA, 490 nt
Filed under: uncultured bacterium
Lineage: Bacteria
Description: partial 16S ribosomal RNA
Rfam family: Bacterial small subunit ribosomal RNA
Source: RNAcentral
AUUGAACGCUGGCGGCAGGCCUAACACAUGCAAGUCGAACGGUAACAGGAAGCAGCUUGCUGCUUCGCUGACGAGUGGCGGACGGGUGAGUAAUGUCUGGGAAGCUGCCUGAUGGAGGGGGAUAACUACUGGAAACGGUAGCUAAUACCGCAUAAUGUCGCAAGACCAAAGAGGGGGACCUUCGGGCCUCUUGCCAUCGGAUGUUCCCAGAUGGGAUUAGCUUGUUGGUGGGGUAACGGCUCACCAAGGCGACGAUCCCUAGCUGGUCUGAGAGGAUGACCAGCCACACUGGGACUGAGACACGGUCCAGACUCCUACGGGAGGCAGCAGUGGGGAAUAUUGCACAAUGGGCGCAAGCCUGAUGCAGCCAUGCCGCGUGUAUGAAGAAGGCCUUCGGGUUGUAAAGUACUUUCAGCGGGGAGGAAGGGAGUAAAGUUAAUACCUUUGCUCAUUGACGUUACCCGCAGAAGAAGCACCGGCUAACUCCGUG